This 40143-nucleotide long non-coding RNA is filed under the name Prunus persica (peach). RNAcentral describes it as "long non-coding RNA (PPER_LNC001115)". The record is from RNAcentral. Lineage: Eukaryota; Viridiplantae; Streptophyta; Magnoliopsida; Rosales; Rosaceae.
AAGGAACAAGGGAUGGCCUUCUUCAUCCUGUCUGCUUACGAAUUCAGAAGGGCUCGUUUGCUUAUAUAUGCAGUACGAAACGAAUUGUUCUCCAAGUAAAACGAGAAAGUAAAUCCAACCCUCAGCUUGUACACAAAUCAUAGACAAUAUUAGGCCCAAAUUUUAGAAUAAAUAAGUAAAAUAUGAGGCCCAAAUUUUGUACACAAAUCAUGUCGAGUGAGGGGACCUUUGGUGCAUGCUUUUGUUUUGGUACAAUAUUUAUAUGUUGCCAAAACGAAAAUUUUGUUCUGGUUGAUAAGAAUAUGGGAACCCAAACAUGGCUGGAGAGAAUACGAACCCCCAUACCUUUACUGAAGCAGCCUAAUAAUUCUGGUUUUGGUUUUGGAGUUUUGCAAAGAGACUCUUCUGCCCAAAAAAUUGAAUAAGGACAAUGAGACUCUUUGGUUCGGUCCCUAGAAUUGGCUCAACAACAUAAUAGAAGGGCCGCUGAGAUUUGAGAUAGCUCUUCAUCUAGUCCAUGAACGACAAGUGAGGGAUUCUUAGGACCCCAUCCGGCCAUAUUGAAGGUGCCCAAAUAUUUCGAAAGUUUUUUUUUUUUUUUUUUGGGUCUGAACAAAUAGUUUGAAAGUUAGCGAUGCAUAGGAGAAGUUAUUCGGUGACACACUAAGAGUACUUUUCCACUCAUUUGUCAUGAUAAAAGGGUAAGGCCAAAUAAGGGUGGUUAUUGUUCAUGUAAGCAGUAUUUGUCCUAACAAUAUUUUUUUGCCUUUCCACUUAUUGCCGUAGCAAUUACUAUUCACAUGUGAUUUUUUUUUUUUUCUAUAUGUAUGAGAUUAACAAAUAAAUAAAUUACUAGGUAUGUAUAAAAAAAAAAUUGGUAAUUUUUCUUAUUUUUUUUUCUUUGUUGACUUCAACGCCCUUAGGCAACAUCUCGGGUUGUUCUUGUCUUUAGGGCCUGCCCAAUCUUGGUGGAGCCCACCAUCUGCCCGAGCUGGAUUUGAUUGUGGAAAGUGUUUUUGGAGCACGAGGGCCUUUUGCCUUGGCAAUUUCAACCGGUGGAAAUGGUCUAACAGUCAUUCUGUUGCGUGGUAUUACAGCCCCUUAUGUUAUAACACGUGUUUUAUUUAUUAAUUUUUUUCAAAAUAAUAAAUCUAACAUGAAUUGAUAAUACUAUAUAACCAUGUAACAAUCGUAUACAACAACUUUUCGAUGCAUUCAAUUUGAUAUUGAGAAGGUGGUCUAGAUCACCUAUUAAAAAAACAAAAAAGUUGGUUUAAAAACUAAAACAUAUUUAAUCAAUGUCAUCAUCUCAAGGAAGAUAUGCAGCUAGAGGCGAAGGCAAAUUGAAAUAUUACAGCCUGAUUAGGCGGGGAUUAGUAGUUUAAGGUUUGAAAGCAACUAGUUGAUCAUAUUCAUAUAUAUAAGAGAGAAAAAAGCAACACAAUGUUUCACUUUAGUUCCUUCUUCAUAUGGGAUGUCCCUGUCUGUCGGUGCUUUAGCUUCCCCUUCACUUCUUUUGCUUAUUUUUCUUCUCCUUUCUUUUUCAUUUCAAUUUAUCUGCAUCGAUCCAUUGGCUUUUGAGUGUACGUCCUCAGGUAUUGGUUGUCACUUAAUGCAUCACACGUGUUUAAAUUUAAAUUCUGGCUCCUCCUCCUGAAUCCCAACCAAAAGAAGAUGAUUCAUGGAUCAUUUUGCAAUGCGUAUGUUCUUUUGUUAGCCCAGAAAUAUUGCUAUAAGUUGGGUAACUAUAAAAGUUUAAGCGACGUUAACGAGAAAUGUUAAGAACAGUCGUGUAUAUGGACAUGCGAUUGAAAAUCACCUGCUCAUUCACUUUUCCAAGCGUAAGCAUCCUUCAAUUAAUAAUUUUAUCAAGUCGAAAAAGAUAGUGCACUAUGAUGUCUUGUACUAACCUAGCCUCACAUCUAUAUAAUAAUUCAAGGGGGCAAUGAUCAGUGCACUACAUGACUACCAAGUCUAUAACACUUGCUGCUCCUCGGCAACUUUCUGCCUGUGUAAUUGUGCAAAAGAUUCUCUUAACCCUUGUGUCAUAUUGCACAUGGCUUGGUUAAAUUCAAUUGUUUUGUCCACCCGUACAAAGUGGUAAGUUUUAUUUCACAUUCAGUCAUUUUAUUAUUUUUUGGGUUAAAGUAUUAAUCAAAAUGCAGAGAAAAUAAUAUUACCGGAAUAUUUAAUUGUAAAUGAACACUAAAGUGAAGGCAACUUCACCUAUACGAAGAAAAAGAAUGGCAAAAUGGUCAAAAAGAGGCCAUAGUCGUGAUCAUAAAGUUAAAAAGUAGUUCCAUUUCGAUUCUUCUUUUUACGAAGAAAAUUGCCAUCCACUGUGAAAAAAAGCAUAUACCCACAGCUAACUUCUGCAAGUGCUUCUCCAAAUAAUUUUCAUGGGUGCUUACUUAUAUCUGCACCUUAUCUGACUCUGACUGGACGCGUUAUUGUUAAUAUUGAUGUGGCUUUUGAUAGAGAAAUUAAUAGAUGAUACAAUUCCUAAAUGACAUACAUAUUUCUUACUAAUCAAAAGCAACGCAUUUUGUGCAGCAAUUUAUGCCAUCAUAUAUUGUUUCAUCAAAGGUAAAAGCUUCCUCUGGUCUGCUAUAAGCCUACAACCCUACAAACCCUAGCUAAUCCUCAAACAUUUUAAUAAAUUUGUGCAAAGGCUUAAACCCAAUUUUUGCCGGACCAUUACAGGAAAAGACUACGAAUGCCUUUUAUUUCUUCUUCUUGUCGGGAUUAAAAAAAAAACCAUUAAAAUGUUCUAUUUUACUUUUGGAUUCAUUUAGGUGCCAAAUGGAGAACUUUGAGCCUACCACCCUUGGCCAAAAAUAAACGGUGCACAAAUAUAUAUACCAAUCGGAAAAGUCUCCGCAUUGGCCGCCAUUAAUCAUCAUAUUCCCUCUUGGCAAGUUUGGCUUAAUCAGCUGCAUUCUUCUGCAGAAAGAACUGCUGGUUGGGAUUCCUUAGUUGUUAGUUGUCAUUGUGGCUUUGUGUUGUAAUUUUCCUUUCUUUAUCCAAAAAGAAGAAGAAAAAUUUAAAGAGUCUCUAUUAACUAAAUAAAAGAGUUGUAUGAUACAUAUUUAAAAAAUAUUCAACCCGCUAACAUAUCUGAUGAAUGAUUAAGAUUAAAAUUCAUUAACUACGUAGCAAAAAUCAUUAUUAAAAAACUCACCAUGUUCAUCAUGCGUCACCAAUAUAACAAAUGUUCUUAUCACACCUUUUUCAAUUUCAUAGAUUUUAAAUUGACGAUAAAAGAAGAUAGGUGAAAUGUUGCUUGUACUCUAAUGUUGUACAUGAAAGCGUGGUCCGUCGGAGCGUUAGCCGGGAAUAUUUUCCAGCCCAUAUAAGGAAGGACCACAUCACUGGUCAUGGGACACCUGAGAAAAAAAAUCAAUUUCAUUUUAUUUUUCCAAUUUCCCCUCAAUUUUAGAUAUUUUAUUAUUGGUAAUUGCAUAACACUUUUAUUAGUUUCCUGUAUACUGUUCGAAAGUCCAGUCCAGUGUUGUCUGUCGGGCAUGGAUAUGGAGGGAAAUUUUACGGCGGGCCCCACCUCAAUGAAGUGCCCAUAGUGUGCUUGACAGAAGCAUCUCUCAGAUUGGGUGUCCCAUCCCCACGCUCCUCAACUGCCAGCCUUGGCGCGUUUUAGCAACGGACUUCCAUCAGCCCCGCCGCUGGAUCCAAACGACGAGUCGUCCUUACAAAUUUCAAACGACGCGCGGAGAAGGUUGCGUUGGUACGACUAGUCGUCCUCGUUUCUCGUACCCCUGUAAAGUUAACCACUGUCACAGAGAGAGACAGUGAGAGAGUCCCAGAAAACUGUUGGAAGAGAAUACAAGGGCCCGAAACGACGUCGUCGACGUCGUCCCCAUGGGCUGCUGAUUCUUCUCAGUCUUUCCCAACAAGUAACAAGGAAGUCACAAAUCCCCGCAAAUAAAAGCAGAGAGAUAAAAAGAGAAAGUGAAAGAAAGCGAGGAAAAAAGGAAAGAGAAGGGCUUUUUGGGGAAGAAGGUGUUAUUUCUCGCAUUUAUCAAAGAGAGGUUUUUGUGUCUCUCUGUCUCUUUCGACAUUUUCAGGUUUAAUGAAAUUGCCAAGAGACUCAGUUUCUCAGUGCUCUAAAUCUUAAUCUUAAUCUUAAUUAGUUUAGUGUUAAUUAAGUGGGUGUGGCGCUAAGCUUAACCAAAAGGGCUCAAAGCCUCAUGAAAAUGUUUUCUUGCCUCUUUCUUUCUUAGGGUUCCUUCCUUCUUACUCCCUCUGUCUUUCUCUCUCUUCUUUUUGUUUCGGGUGGGCCGUACUGCUACUUCUAGGGUUUUGAAGCUGAAACAAAAAUAGUAAAAAAGGAAAAAUAAAAAAAAGAGAUUGGAGGCUCUGUAGCUUUGAGAGUGGGGGGUUGAAAUCCAUGCAGCUGGAGCUGAAUCAGCUGAUGAUAUAGAUGCUGGGGUUUGUUUGGAUGUGAUUUCUACUGGGUUUCCUUAAUCGUGGGUUUUGGUAGAUUGGAGCGAAAUCUAAAAUGUGCAAGAUCUUGAUGAAUGAGGUUAAGUGCUUAGAAUCAGCGAAGAUGGAGCAUUGUCUUAGUGCUAAUUGAUAUUUCUUGGCAAGUUGGAAGAGAAAUCGCGCUCUUAAACAUGCAUUUCACAAAGCUCGAUGACUCUCCUAUGUUCCGCAAGCAGGUUUUCUCUCUCUCUAUCUCUCUCUGCCGUUAGGCUGCUUAUAUCUCUCCUUGUUUGCGUGGUUUGGUUGUCGCAUUUUGUUCCUCAUUCCAAUGACAUGUUUGGCUGCUGAGAAAUUUCGGAAGAGAAACUAAAGUUUGGAAUUUGAAUCUCAUGGCUGGCUUGGGGGCUGUGAUUUCUCUGCAACAAAAUGGAGCAUGUGCUGCCGAUAGUUGUACAUUUUAGAGAAGUGAAUUGCAUUGGCACAAUCGCCAUCUGCCACAUCCCUUAAAUUGCUGAAUUAUUUAGCAUUUGCCAGUUGUGUAAUUUGAAAUGAAUUGAUGCGAGUUAUGCAAGUUCAAGUUGAAAAGGUUUUAGUUUGCUCCUGUUGUUUCUGAGUUGCAAGACAGCCCAACCUAAUUUAUUUUUUCAAUAAUAUGUCUCGGUUUAACUUCCACCGAUUUCACGUUCUGUAGAAGAACAGAGAGUUAGUUAGCUGUAUUUGUAUUCUCUGCAGAGGGCUGAAAAUAUGAAGCUUUGCAAAGAUGUCUCUGUUAUAGUUCCCAGACUUCUUAAAUCUGCUUAUACCCUGCUCGGGGUUUAUAUUACUCAGGCUCUGAAAAUGUCGAGUGUAGCGAAUGUUAAAUAGCACCCCCCUUCCCCUUCUUGUCGUAUUUACUUUGUGAUGCAUGUGAAUAAUGUUGCUAUCUCCAUUCCUGUCACUGCAUUCUGUUAUAUCCAUUAUACGUGGGUUCAUGACAUUAUUACUAGUUAUGGACUUUGCUGCGGUAUGUAGUCAUUGAUAAUUCUUUUGGUGGAGCAGAUACUGUGCAUGGAGGAAAAUGCUGAAUCAUUGAGGGAGAGAAGUUUAAGGUUUUACAAAGGAUGCCGAAAAUACACGUAUGUCUACAAAUAACUGUUCGAUGGAAUUUUUUGACUUUGCCAAUUGUUGUGUAUUCAAUUACAUUGCUGAUGAUAUAAAAUGUAAAUUUCAUUUGGUACCAUGAAAGACUUGACCACUUAGUAUCUUAUGCUUUUUGCACUUCCUAUAACUCUCAAAUAUGCAGAGCAUAUGAAAAUUUGAUAAUUUAACAUACAUGUUGUCAGGUGGUUUUGGAUCUUCCUUAUCUUGUUUUUGCUGGAUGGAAUCAACCUUUGCUAAACAUGUUUUGUUUGUCAGGGAAUUACUUAAAAGUGUUUUUUUCUUUUUGUUUUUGCUUGCAGUGAAGGACUUGGGGAAGCAUAUGAUGGGGACAUUGCUUUUGCUAGUGCCCUAGAAACUUUUGGCGGGGGGCAUAAUGAUCCAAUUAGUGUGGCUUUUGGAGGUAUGCCAAUUUGUCAUCAUAAAGAGUAUCAAACAUUGGUGAUUUUCUUUUCUAGUUGCUUCAUCGGUGGGUGCAUUGGGGUCACCCAAGUGCACCCAAUUCUUUUCCAUUCUGACCACAUUUGAACUAUAAUAUCAUUUGUUAUCAGGAUUAUGUGUGUUAGCCAAAAGAAAAUUAAACAAAAAGGAAACAAAUUCAUAGAUAGUGCAUGUUGUUGAAACAACUAUUAGAAGCAGGUAUAAGCUGCUUUUGGCAUUUAUUAAUUGGCUCCUGUCUUCUUCUCUAGGCCCUGUUAUGACCAAAUUUACGAUAGCACUGAGAGAAAUUGGGACAUACAAGGAAGUUCUUCGAUCUCAGGUGAUAACUUUGUUUUAUCUGUUGCUGCAAGCUAAAGGCUUCCUUCUGUUUUUGCAAUCACAAUAUUUUGGCUGCAGUUCCCAGAAUAUCAAUUCAAUAUGCAGUUUGAGAGAUGUUCGUUAUCAGUUGAAAUGGUUUCUUCUUAAUUUAGGCUUGUGAAUAAUUCCAUUUUGAAGCUUGAUAUCAUUUCCAUGUUUUGAAGUUUUUGCUUUACAAUGAGGCUUUACUUGAGCAAAAGUAACUCUAACUGCAUACAUUUUAUGGCUGACAGAACACAUUGUGGCGUAUGCAGUCACAGGAAGUUUAAUAUGCUUUAAAUUCCCUAGUCAAAUGGCUUUCCAUGAUCCUUUUUUUGUAGCUCUCUGUGUUCGUUGCCUGUUGGAUUAGUAGUUUAUUUUAUGUCAUGCAUAAUGUCAAGCUAUAGUAUUAACCUGUUUUUCCUCUCCCUUACAGGUUGAGCAUAUGCUAAAUGACAGACUGUUACAAUUUGUGAAUAUUGAUUUGCAUGAGGUCAAGGUAUUGUGAAAGAUUCCUGCAUCAGGCGAUUUGGGUUUAUCUUUGUUUUUGUCAGUAUCAUUUGUGUCUUGUAGUUAGUGUUGAAUGGAGUAUUGUCUUUGUGCAGGAGGCGCGGAAACGUUUUGACAAGGCUAGCCUUAUUUAUGACCAGGUGUGUGCUGCAGAUCCUAAAUUAAUUUGCUUCUUUUGUUGAAGGAACUUCAAUGCAUUUAGUGACUAUUUUCUCAUGUGUUGAAUUUAGAAAAUAGAAUGAUCUGUUCCAGUAAAAUAUUGCUAGCAUUUAAAAAUAAAUAAAUGCAGGAUCUCCUGCAACUGUAGAAAGAUUUUUAUUUUAUUUUUCAUGUUCUAACCAAGUCUGAGGUAUCUUGAAAGAUAGUUCUGCAGGUUAGUUGAAAUCUAGUAGAACCACACCAGAUUCAUUUGUAUUUUUUGGGAACUUGUUUGGGAGAGAUUUAUUGGUGUGAUUUCUUCCCGUAUCUUUGAUUUGUUAGAGCUCGCCUUUUUCUAUUCUUUUUUUUGCAGCUGUAUAUAACAACCUUGUUUUUCAUAAUUUAAUAUGGGAUUUGAAUCAUUGAUAGAUCUUGCAGCUAUUUUGGGAUUAAUAAGACUCUUUGAAAUUAAUUGAGUAUGUCAUACGUAGUUUGAUACUUAUGUUACCGCAGGCUCGCGAGAAAUUUCUCUCAUUGAGAAAAGGCACAAAGAAUGAUGUAGCUUCCAUGCUAGAGGAGGUACUAUGCAGUGCAAACUCUAAUUAUAUUUGUUAAUAUAUGUUCUUAUCUAUGGCAUUGAAAAUUAUCCAUUCUUUACAUUCUAAUACAGCUUAGAGAUAUUGCAGGAACUUCAUAAUGCAAGGUCUACAUUUGAGCAAGCUCGUUUUAGUCUGGUAAGUUUCUUGAAGCUGUCCUUUUCGAAAUCAAUGAUUUCAUGUAAUUGAAACAUUGGCAUUAUGAUUUGGACCUUUUUAUUUGCAGGUGACUGCUCUUUCUAAUGUUGAAGCAAAAAAGAGGUUUGAAUUUCUGGAAGCGGUCAGUGGAACAAUGGAUGCACAUCUUCGUUACUUCAAACAGGUGAAUUGGAAGCCAGGUUUUCUGUCCUUUUCACAUGCUUUAUCACUAGUUUGUUGACCUUCAACCUUUUUCAUGUGUAGGGUUAUGAGUUGUUGCAUCAAAUGGAGCCAUAUAUUAAUCAGGUUUGUUAUAAAUGUGUAUGUUAGUGUAAUAUUUAAGCCAAAUCUAAAUCAGGUUUGAGAUUCUUAUAUUCCUAACUUUUCUAUUCUGUUUGUAAUGAGAAUAAUUGAAAAUUUGACCUCUUACUAUUUCAUAGGUCUUGACUUAUGCUCAACAAUCAAGAGAAAGAUCCAACUAUGAACAGGCAGCUCUUAACGAAAGGAUGCAAGAAUACAAAAGACAGGUUGAUCGAGAGAGCAGGUGGUCUUCCAAUGGUUCUAAUGGAUCUCCUAAUGGAGACGGGAUACAAGCCAUUGGUAGAAGUUCACAUAAAAUGAUAGAGGCCGUUAUGCAGUCUGCUGCAAAGGGAAAGGUUUGAAGAAGCUUCAUUUUUUUUUUUCCCAGUUAUUGCCUUUAAUUUAUUUACGUGAUCUAUGUUCCACUUCUUUAUGCAUUUUGAUAUUGAAGUUGCUUUUGUUUCAUGUCUACAUUUAAUACUACAGACAAAAUUUAACAGUAAUCAAUAAUCAGGUUCAAACCAUUAGGCAAGGUUAUCUCUCAAAACGUUCCUCGAACUUGAGGGGUGACUGGAAAAGAAGGUUUUUUGUUCUUGAUAGCCGAGGAAUGCUGUAUUACUAUCGAAAACAAUGCAGUAAACCAUCUGUAAGUAAUUUUUUCAAGAAAGAAGUUAGGAUGCAGAAGGCUUGAAGUUUGUCCCGGGCUUGACGUUAAUAUCAAUGUUUUGUUAUUGUGUUUGUCUAUAACUUGUAGGGGUCUGGUAGCCAAGUUUCUGGUCAGAGGAAUAGUUCUGAGCUUGGUUCUGGACUUCUGAGUCGGUGGCUUUCUUCUCAUUAUCAUGGUGGAGUGCACGAUGAGAAAUCUGUUGCUCAUCACACAGUGAAUCUGCUUACAUCAACUAUCAAAGUUGAUGCUGACCAGUCAGAUCUGAGGUUUUGUUUCAGGAUCAUUUCACCGACAAAGAACUAUACUUUGCAGGUUCGAUUCAGUGUAGCUGUCCCUUGUGAUCUUGGAUUUAAUUUUAUGUAUUUAUGUAGUUCCUGAACGGUUUCUCAACCAAUUUUAGCUGGUGAUUCUGCUAAUAUGGCAAAUAUGUGAUGGUUAUUUGUAUAUAGGGGUUCCUGCAAUGAUAUUUAUUUAUGCUUGUCAGUGCAGGCAGAGAGUGCACUUGAUCAAAUGGAUUGGAUUGAGAAGAUAACAGGGGUUAUUGCUUCAUUACUUAGCUCUCAGGCUCCUGAGAGGGUAAUUAUUGUGAAGUUUUGCAUGAUUAUGAUGCCAUUGAUUUUCAUAGUUGCUUUGAUGAUUUUUGUCCAAUUCUUUUUCAGUUUCUGCCUGCUAGUCCCAUGGGAAGCCAUCGUCGUUCAGCAAGUGAGAGUAGUUCAUUUGAGAGUUCUGAUUUUGAUCACACUGGAGUCGAAGAACUUGCAUCUGAGAGGAGUCUUCCUACUGCAAAUUCUGACCGCCCAUUGAGAAGCUCACAACAGCAACGAUCUUCUUUAAAAAGUGAAAAGACAAUCGACAUGCUACGACGAGUAUGUGGGAAUGAUAAGUGUGCUGAUUGUAGUGCCCCAGAGCCAGAUUGGGCAUCAUUAAAUCUUGGUGUUCUCGUUUGCAUAGAAUGUUCUGGUGUUCAUCGUAAUCUUGGUGUACAUAUCUCAAAGGUAAUCAUUCUGCUUUCUUAGUCUUUUUACAUGUUAUAUCUGUGAGCCAUGCACUCUUAAAUAAGUGUUGUGUAGGCAUGCCUAUCAAAUGACUAUUAUGUUAUCCUGUUCUUUCUUCCUCUACUUUUUUAUGCGUACAAUCUCAAAUAUUUAUAGAGUAGGAAUCUAAAGAACCUUCCUCGUAUGAUUUUUACUAAUAUGGUUUUUUUUAACUGACCAAUAAUGUGGUUUACUUUUCUAAAGGCAAUAAGAAUUGUUAACAUGGAAUGUGUAAACUGUCCAGUAAUAUUUUUAAAUCUUUUUUCUGAGAUUUUCUCGCCUCUGACCAUGAAUUUGGUGUACAAUUACAGGAGAAUUCAAUAAUUGUUCACAUCAUGAUAAAGUGGAAACUAUUAUUUACUGGAAAUUACUAAAUUUUGUUUUGAUUUGUAUGUUAUAUGGACUGUAAUAUCUUCAUAGGAACUUUUUUGUUUAUAACUGGGUAAAGUGUCCAUGGUAAUGAUGUAUGUACUGGUCCUAUAAAAAAAUGAUAUAUGUAUCAGUUGCUCAUUUCUGCAACUCUUUUUCUUGGUGGCUUUUACUGCAGGUAAGGUCUCUUACACUGGAUGUCAAAGCAUGGGAGCCUUCUGUUAUAAAUUUGUUUCAGUCUUUGGGUAAUGCCUUUGCCAACUCUGUCUGGGAGGAACUUUUGCAAUCAAGAAAUGCGUUUCAGGUUGAUCUUAUAUCCACAGGGUAGGGAUUCUUUGUUACAACUCUUUCGAGUAUCGUAUAUGUUUCAUCUUUACUUGACUGUUGUGAGCAUUCACUGCUAUUCUUCUGGUGAAGGUCAUACAAGUCUGAUAAAAAACAGCUAGUUUUUAUCAGCAAACCCAGUCAGAGUGAUUCUAUACCAGUUAAGGAGAAAUUCAUUCAUGCAAAGGUAUGCCCCUCGCUGUUGCUAAUUGGAUGACUUGAAAACAGAAGGAAUUGCUCUCCUUUUUUAAAUUUAAAUUAUGAUGGAUAAUGUGUGAAUAUGAUCUAGAUAAGUUGAUACAUCAAGACAUUAGAAUUUUUUUGGUCUAAUGGCUAAGAUUGCUAGUAUUACAUACUAAGUUGAUAGGGAAGCAAUUCCUUUUCUAGAAAAAAAUAAAAAUAAAAAUAAAUAAAUUGAUAGGGAAGCAAUAGUUUUAGAACAUCAGCCCAAUCUAAAGAACACGUAUUUUCUAAUAUUAAAGACAGAAAUUUUGAUUAGCUCUAAGAUGUGGAGAGUAGUUUGAGAUUGUGAACCCUUAUCAGCUUAUUGGAAUACUUGUUAUCCUCUCGUUUAUCGCUUUUAGGUGAUCAUGGUUUAGGCAUCUUGCAAGAAGGGCUGUACGUAGUGUAUAAAGGCAUAACCUCAUUGUUCCUUCAUAAUGUGGAUGAGGCUAGCUUGAAUUCAUUGUAGUUUUCACAAUAGCAAUGAUUUGGGAACCAAUUUUUAUUAACUUUAUGAUUAUGAGUGUUCUCGAAGAUCUCCUAUGCUACCUGCUACUACUAGUUGAUGUUAUUCAGACUAUGGAAAUGUGGAACUAAAUGUUUAUUUUAUUUCGAUCAUAGUAUGCAGAAAAGCUUUUUGUUCGGAAGCCAAAAGAUGCACAAUAUACUCAUUUGAUAGCACAACAGAUUUGGGAGGGUGUUCGUGCUAAUGACAAGAAAGCUGUAUAUCGUCACAUCGUUAAUUCUGAACCAGAUUUGAAUGCGGUGUAUGAGCAAGCAUCAUGUGCCUCUUCAUUAACCCUUGCGAAAGUAAUGCUGAUGCAUGAGCAGACUGGCCAUGACCAAACCUCUAGCUGCUUAGCUGGGGAUUCAUUGGACAGGUCGUCUCCUAGCUCUUCAAACUUGAGUGGUACAAGUGAAGGCCAUGCUGUGGAAGAUCUAGAUGGGUGCACUCUUCUUCACCUUGCUUGUGAAACUGCAGACAUUGGAAUGCUUGAACUCCUCUUACAGUAUGGAGCAAAUGUGAAUGCAACUGAUUCAAGAGGUCAAACACCACUUGACCGUUGUAUUCUUAGAGGCAGAAACACAUUCGCAAAGUUGCUUCUUUCAAGGUGACUAUUGUCUUACGGUUAGAUUUGCUGUUUUAAAAAACUCAUUUAUUACAUCUUUCCCAAUUUCUGCAUAUUUAACUAAUUAGCUGUCAAUUUCUUUUAAAUGCUUCAUUUUUACCUCUUAUUUAUGAUUCGCUACUGAGGGGUUCGACUGCAUCUGCAGGGGAGCUGAUCCACGAGCAUUAAAUGGGGAUGGUAAAACGCCCCUUGAGCUGGCAGUCGAGUCAAACUUUGAUGAUGGUGAGGUCCUUGCUAUAUUAUCGGAGUCCAAUGGAUGAAACUAUCGAAUUAGCAACCAUCCGAAGACAACGGCAUGGAUGCUGGAUAAUUUUCGUUAAAAGAAACAAAAGGUAUCUCGCAUUUGUAUAAUUAUAGUUCAUAAAUUUGAAAGCUUGUUCUCCUUUGAAUGAAAUGGCACAAAGUGUUUUGCGGGUUUCAAGAGUGGUAGAAUCGCCUGCCUGCCCCAUGGGGGCACCGUUGCAAAAUGUCGUCCAGGGUUGUAAUUUAAAAUGGCUCCCGUGGUCUGUGAGCCGAAAGGCAUCUGGGAGCUUUCAGCGAAGGGCUCUGUAAUGUGUUGUCUCUUGUUUAUUCAGUUUUCUGCUUCCUUUUGGGUGAAGCUGUGAGGAUUUAGUUUAGGCCAUUGUGUAUUUGUACAUUGAUUUCUUUUAGUGAAGCUUUUGGUUGUUGUAACUCUUUUUGACUGAACAAACUUCCAACCCUAUGUUAUUCCAGUUUAAAGAUUCCGAAGAGGGAGAAGAUGAAAGUAAUACCCCGAAAAAGAAAGCAAAAAAUUUCCCGGAAAUUGAUGACUUUUGAUGCUUUUCUUUGCAAGGAAGGAUAUUUAUGAUAUGGAGGCAAGAAAUAAUUAUCUGGGUUUGAUUUUGUGUAAAAGAGUUCCUUAAUCAUAUUUGUGAAAACAUAAGAAAAUAGAAAAUAAUAUAUGAUGAUCUUCAAUCAUCCAAUCUUAUCCACGUCAGACUAAGAUACAAAGAUCUGAAAUGACGAAAAGACUGCACUGACAUAUCUUUUGAUGGGUCAAGCCUGUGAGCGGAGCCUAUAUGAUGUUACGCUCCCUUGUCAUGGCAUGUCAGUCAAAUGUAGCAGAACCCAUCACGUAUGGCGCAACAGACAGCUUGGUCUGCGGGUCUCCCUGCAAGUCAAAGGGCUACUGAAUCCAUCCACCACUAUAUAUUUAGGCAGAAUGUCAUUUUUGUCGUUCACCCAUUUUACAACUUUGAUAAUCUUCCUAGCAUCAUUUAUGUCAUUUUAUUGUAGUUUCAAAUCGGUCGCAAUGUAUAAUAAAUUUGUCAAAUUCCUUUCAAUAUCGUUCAAAAUACCCCCCCACACUUACUAUGUUCCGAGAAAAUUCGGACGUAUCUUUAAUGUAAGAGGUAUAAUCAAACCGCAUAGAUCAAAAUGAAAAAUCCAACAAACAUAAGAACUAGAAGUGAUUUUAUGCCUUUCAUUUAUUUACUUGUUUCAAUCAAGUAAUUUGGAUAGAAACAAAUGAAGCAGGUGAGUGAUGGUGCUAACUCAACUGCCAUGAAUAACUCCGUUGAUUUAUGAAACGCAAGAUGAUUAAAAAAAUGUUUUCUCACUUCAAUUUUCGAGACUUACCUUUUUAUUUAUUUAUAAUGAAAUGGAGGUGAAAAGCCCUCCUUGCUCCUGUUGGGCCUGAAAAGGCCAAGGCCCACACGUGCACGCGUGUUGGUGUUUCACUCGUCCCGAGACCCAUCGAUUCUUUUGAACCACCGGAAGCGGAAGCCAGACCAACCAUGAACGACUGGAACGACCCCAGCAAACGUGUAAAAGAUAAUAUUCCAUUUCCAUCCCCACAAAAAUUAAUAAUUAUAUUCCAAAGCAACAGUUUAUUAAAUUUUUUUGUUGUUGGGAAUUACUUUAAUUAAUUUAAACAACAAACAAAACAAAAGCCAAAAAGAAAAACACUUUACUAAUCAGUAAUCGCAUUUGGCUAAUCUGUAAUCUCCCCCAACCAUUUUUUAUAUAAUCGGAAUAAAUUCCCGCGGUGGUUCCUUCUCGACGGUUGGGAUCUCUUCCCGAACCAGCCAACGGCGGAUAUGUAUUUGGCGUUGCUCGGGCUUGUCUCACACGGUUCGAUGUUUCGCUUUCGGCCCUCGUGAUAGCGACACAGUGCCAACGUGGCGCAGUGGACCCCGGGGCUUGGUAGUCUGAAAGGCGGGAAGCCCAGUUUUGUCCUCCGCAUGAGAGAGAAAGAAAAGCAAAAAGAGCCAGAGAAAGUGCGUGUAAAAUGUAUCUCUCCUCUCAGACAGACACGGAGAGAGAGAGAGGGAGGGAGAGAGAAAUACAGUGAGAGAGGUAGGGAUUUUUGUUUGUAUUUUGAAUUUUUUUACAAGGGACAAUAAUAAUAGUGGUACCCAGAGGCAGGAAGAGUACCGGGUUGUUGUAUACUUGCUGUGUAGUUUGUGAAGAAAAGAACUUGCUUUGUUUUGUGAGACUCUGUGUGUGACUGUCUCUAACUUUGAAACGGCCAAGUUUCAAAACUUGCCCUUUCUUUUCUUCUUGUCAUUUUUGGCGAGCACUUUGGGUCUUCUAAGUUCUUCAAUCUCUGUGUCUCUGCUGAUGAGUAGUGGGGGUUUGUUUUUGUUAUUUGUAUUUUCGGGCAUGUUGAAGGGGUGUAAAUGAGGGGCUUGAAGAGAAAAAGAUGCGAAUCGGUGACGAAAUGAUUCUUUGCGUCUUUCUUCUGAGGAUUUUUGCGUCAAAAAAUUCGAUUUUUAUCUGAUAUUCUCCUCUUUCAUGUGCCCCUUGAAGCUUCUCUCAUGGGUUCUCCCCGCACUUUUCCCCACUACUUCAAGCAUUUCUGGACUGGGUUGCAUUUUCUGCGUCUCCAAGCUCCAUGGAGACUAAAGCCUUAAGAAAAACAAAGCAAAAAUUUGAGCUUUGACGCCAAAGCAGCUGCUACUCUUGAGUUUGUGUGGUCAAAUACUCAAGAAAGAUUUGAGCUUUAAGAUUGGUUUUGUUAAUUUUCAUCUGGGUUAUUUAACUUCAAGCUUCUGGUUUGCCUACUAUAUGUAACAUGUGGGUUUCAGUUUGGCUUUUCUGAGCCUUUGCUCUCACUGUCUUGCUUUUGAGAUUCGUGGCUUUCUACUCUCUAAUGGAUAGAAGAAGAAGUACUUCAAAAUUUAACAGUAGGCUUACUAGGCUUCUCCUUUUGCUAUUCAUAUUCUGCUUUCGCCAAGAAACUGUGCAGUGCCAAGAAACUGAGCCUCCAUCGUCGUCAAAGCAGCCCCACUUCAAGAACCAGCUUCAAAGAAUCAUUCUCAGCAUUGUGUUGGGAGUAGUGACAGGACUAAUUUGUGCCCUUCUCACUGCGCUCUUGGUCCGCUGCUUUCUCCGCUACAUUAGCAGAACCCCAAUUCUAAAAGGCCCUGUCAUAUUUUCUCCGAAAAUCGAUCCCAAGACACUCCAAUUGGCAUUAACUAAUGAAAACCAGUUACUGGGUUCUAGCCCAAAUGGCAAGUACUACAGGACUGUUCUUGACAAUGGGCUUAUCAUUGCAGUCAAGCAGCUUGGACCCUUUUCCGAGUGUAGUUCGCCAGAGUCUCAGAGCAAGUCGGUGAAGAGGCGAAUACAGCAGGAGCUUGAAGUUCUUGCUGGCCUGAGGCAUAGGCAUUUGAUGAGCCUGAGGGCUUAUGUUCGUGAACACGAUAGGUUCUCUUUGGUUUAUGAUUUUGUGCCCAAUGGGAGCCUAGAGGAUGCUAUGAAUAGAGUUAGAGCAAACCAAUUGCAGCUUGGUUGGGAAGUUCGGCUUCGGGUUGCAGUUGGGGUGAUUAAGGGGCUUCAGUAUCUUCACUCGUAUGUUCCUCAGAUUAUGCACUACAACUUAAAGCCUACAAAUGUUAUGUUGGAUUCGGAGUUUGAACCGAGAUUGGGAGAUUAUGGGUUGGCCAAGCUUACGCCUUAUUUGGAUGGAGCAACAUCUGGCUACAGCGCUCCAGAGUGUUUCCAGAAUGGCAGGUACACAUAUCAAACUUUGAUAAUAUCCAAACUUGGUAAUGUUUCGUUUUGUACAAUUACUAUGCUAUUCCGUUGAGGAAGCUAUAUUGAUAUAUUUGUGGAACUUGUAAUUGGGUUUAAUGAUAUUUGUGUACAGUUCCUAGUAAUUUUCUUGCUUUUACAGUACUUAUCAGGAGUUUGGUAUUCCACAUCACAAAUGUUUAGUCUGGGGCAGGAUUGGAUUAGGUCUGCUACCUUUUAAUUUCCAUUAGCAAUUUAGCUUCUUUUUCAAAUGUCUCGCUCUCCUGCACAAGGUGAUGGAUACUCGAAGCUCACGGCCAAUACAGGGGUGUGUGUUUUGUGGGUGGGAUUGCAAUCCCACACCCUUUGUCCCACUUUUUUUCGCCCCUGUAUGGAAUUCUGAAAGUUUCCCUUGGAGCUGGAUUAUUCUCAUAGUUGUUAAGAUAUAAGGCUUUGUAGAACUUCAGAAUAUUGAUGGUUGUUUGCCUUAAAUUUGGUGCUAUGGGGUCUUAUAUGUAGCAGUUGUGUUAUUUUGACUAGCUUGUAGUAUGGAAAUAAAAACAGAUAUACUCUUCCACUAAAGGCAUUAUAUUCAAUUUUGACAGGUACAGUGAUAAGAGCGACAUCUUCAGCUUUGGGAUGAUAUUGGGUGUUUUAUUAACUGGUAGAGACCCAACUGACGCCUUCUUUGGGGAAGCAGCUAGUGGUGGAAGUUUAGGACGGUGGCUGCGGCACUUGCAGCAAGCCGGGGAGGCACGGGAAGCAUUAGAUAAGAGUAUAAUAGGGGAAGAGGGGGAGGAAGAUGAGAUGUUGAUGGCAGUGAGAAUUGCUGUUGUAUGUCUAUCAGAUUUGCCAGCAGAGAGGCCCUCAAGUGAUGAGCUUGUUCACAUGCUAACCCAACUGCACAGUUUUUGAAUCAAAUGCAAGUAUUUUGUCGAGUUGAAGCUUCUAUUUCUGUAGAUUUUGGGGAACUAGACUUCAGAAAUGUUUGCUCUCAGGUUUUGGUCUGCAAUCUGCACGGCUUUUCAAAUUGUAAGCUUCCCUGUUGUAAUGUACGUACAUUGACUGUGGUGAAGAAGUCAAGGAAAUUUCUGACUUUGGAGUAAGAAUGAGCAGAUAACCCAUGUGGGGCACAUCUCUAUUAUUGUGUUUUUCACCUCCUGAUGGUAGGGAUUUGGUGGCUGUCUUUUUGUGGACAGUACUUUUUUCAAAAUCACGGGUCUUUUCAACCUGUGAAGUUGGACUAUUCUCUACAUGCCGCUUCAAUAACCAUUCUGUGUAGAUGUGCAAUUUGAGAAAAGCUUCCAUGUCAAGAGUAUAAUACUGUUUUUCUAUUUUCCACCAAUCAAAUUAGAUCAUACGGAAUAGUUACAAUGCAUGACGGAUUAGUUGGAAAUAUCAAAACAGUGCUAUCUUCGUAAUAUACAAUUUUUUUUUUCAUACUUCAGUGUUCUUGUAGGCAUGGAUUCAAGUUCUAAGGUGGAUGCAACCAGCUAACACGCAGUCUACAAAUCAACUAAUAUUUCAUAAAAGAAUCAAAUAGCAAUAUGAGUAUUUAGUAAGUCUUUUGAUAACCUUGCUUAUUGGAUUAAUAAUUCUUUUUCAAGGCUCCUUUUACUUUCUUGCUGUGAUCCCCAUCCCCAUGGUUCUAUUUUGGAAGAUGUAAAAGCCAUUAUUGGUUGAGUUUGUCUUGCCUAAUGUGUGUCACAAAUUGUAUCCACAUGUGAUGAACAUGACUAGGAAGCAAGAAGAGACAGGAAAAAGCAUGUGGUGGGGAUACUCAGAAACCAAGCAGCUCAUGCAAAUUGGGCCCAAAAUUAGCAUGCUUGAAAAGAAAAAAGAAAAAAAGCGAGUUAAAAAGCAUGAGAAGGAUUAGAAAAGAUGACCCAACCACUUCCAGCUGUGACUGCAAGUAGAACCCAACCUUCCAUUCUUUUAAUUAUUAAGAGCAUUUAUAAUGGGCUCUUUAAAUUAUAUUUUUAGACAAAUUUUAGAGAUGAAAUGGAAAAAUAUAACUUCAAUCAUGCUCCCUAUUCACCUCUUAAAAUAGAGAGACCUUUAAGAGCUCAUAAAUUUAAGGAGAGAGAAAUGACUCUUAGUGACUCUAUAAUUUAAUGCUCCUUUAUUUAAUGAAUAUUUCAAACCUUUAAUUAAUAUAAUUAUUUUUUAAAAGAGAUUGACCAAUUAAAAAAAAGUUAUAGCAUUUAUGACUUCCUAAACUAGAGAGCACCAUUGGAGUUUAAAUUUUAUAGAGAGCUCCUAAAAUAACUUUUAUAUGUUUUUAGCUAAAAUUUAACAAAAAAAUAGAGAGUAUCAUUGUGAAUGCUCUAGGGUAUAUAUAUAUAUUGCAAGAUAAUUAUUAAGAGAAAAUUAUUUAAAGGAGAGGAAUUCUUUUUCUUCUCAACAGAUGAGAAAUCCCCCAAGUCACAAGGUGAGGGUGGGAGAAGACUUCCAUGAAACGGAGAUCAAACUUUUUUCUACUUUCAGGUUCCAGUCAAUAACAUUAUAUAGGAUAACACUUCUACAUGACAUAUUAUUAUUGGCAGGAGAUAGCAAGAUAGUUCUAUUUUUGUUGCAACUAAAUUUUUUUCGAGGGUCAGGGGUAUUAUAGUUUGUUAGCUUUUUGGGCCUUGGGCUUCAUGUUAUAUACAAAAAUUAGUGGUGGGAGAAAUUGCAAGUGUUUGGGCCGGAAGGUGUUUGCUUUGUCUCACUUCGGCCUGUGGGUGAAAUGUCAAAUUGCCAAAGAAAAUAAAGAAAGACAAAAACUGGAGUUGGAAAACCGGAGUGUGGGAGAAAAAUCCAAGUAUGAGCAUCUCUCAAUCCAUUCAUUUAGUUUUGUUUUUGUGGACGAAAUAUCAAUCCAUUUAGUUCACCACCAAAUUCCCAGUUAAAGCAGAAAGUUAAUAUCUUAUCCGGUCUCAAAAAAUCUAUGCUACCUUAUCCAAUAUCCAUCCAAGUCAUUGCCCAGGCUGAUAUAUUAUAGUGCUGAGCUUUUGCCCCUCUUAACUCGAGCAAAUCAAAACCAACUUACUUCCAACAAAAUGCAGGCCAUUCUACGUCUCCCACCACCAUCUGUAUCACCCCUUGCCCUUGCAACACCCACCACCACCAAGUCCCUUGCCUUGCCAUGCAGCUCCUCCAUUCCAAGGCUACUAAAAUCCCCAAGGUGCCCCCCACUCAAGGCAGCCAAUGUCACAGAAGACCCUUCUGCUGUUGAUUACAGCUCCGUCACUUCGUAAGUCAAUACCACUCUCAGCUCUUUCUUCUUAUUGAUCUUAAUAUUCUAAUCAAUUGUUUGCUCAAGCAUAAGCAUUAAUUUGUGAAAUUUACAGUGUUUUUCCGGCAGAGGCUUGCGACACAAUCGGAGGAGAAGCUUGUGAUGUCGAAAUGUAUCCUGAGGUGAAGCUCAAACCAGAAGACAGGAACAACACAGCCAAGACUACUUCUGAGCAGUUGGAUAGAGAUUAUCUAGAGUACGACAGCCCCAAGACGUAAGAUGAAUAAUCUUUUUAUUGGUUUGAGGUAUGAAAUUUUGUAUUUUCUUUUUGAUUGUCUAAAAUGGUUUUAUGUUGAUGAUUGCUGCAGGGUCUUUCCUGGAGAGGCUUGUGAUGAUCUGGGAGGAGAAUUUUGUGAGCCUGAGUAUCAGAGAGGGGUUCACUAGGCCCUGAGAUCUUUUCUUUUCUCAUCUCAGCUCUAUUGUUGACUCUAAUAAUUUUGUGAAUAAUUACUAUUUGGAAGGGUAGCUGGCAAUGUUCUUGAAUAAUAAAUAAUGAACAUGAACAUGUAAGAAUAUAGCCCAGUUGGGAAAUUCUAGUUGCAAAUUCUGAUCUUCACAAUUUUCUUUGCUUCAAUAUUUGAAAAACUCAGAAUCAGGGAUACUACCUACGACUCGGAAACCAGAUAAUUGAUGAAUCAGUAUAUUCUCCAAUGAUUAGAACUAAGAAAAGAUUUGUUUCUUGACAUUUGAAAUACUAUUUACUGAUCAUAUCAAGUUUCAGAGCUUGCACAUCACACAGUUUUUAAGGGUUUCUACAGAAAUCACAUUAUGAACAAGAACAAUGAAGAGCAGAUAUUAACACUGACAUGUUUAGGCAUCAAAUGUCACAGAGCUUCAAGUAAUUUUGAGCCUAAAUCCGAUACGCCUGCUAUUCACUCGCUUCAGUGAUCUCUUCCAGAAAAAGAUACUGGAGAGAAAUGGAAUACUUAGCAGUCUUUGUUCUCCCUGAAUUGCUAUUGUCCUUUAGAACAAACGAUCCAGAGCCAUCACCUUCAGCACACACACAAACUCCCAAUUAUAAUAUGUUGCAAAGAUCAUAUACCCAAAAAAAAUAAAAGAACACUUAUUCUAAUAUUCCAUAUAAAAUUAUAAUGCAUAACCGUCCCAUUGCUAAACAAACCUUGAAUUGUAAAAAUGGUUGUAACCCAUCUUUUGUAGAUGAAGAGCAACCUUGGGGAGUCUCCAUGGUGUGUAUCAGACAGCAGAAGCUUGCAAGGACUCGUUUCACUACCAUGAAAAGUUAAAGCUUACCAUACUACUAUUGUUACUGAACAGAGCAAAUUAAGUCACUAAUUAUAAUUAAAAAAGGUUAAUUACUCACUUGGCAUGAACCAUGGCAUUGUGACAUAAAGCUAGUGUCCGAACCAUUGCUAAGUCUCUUCCACGUGGGUUACCAUAUCUUUCUUGGCAGCUCCUUUAAUUGAAAGUAAAAAAAUUAAAUUAACAGAUUGACACUAGUGAACAAGAAAAGAAGAAAGGAAAUACCUUUCGUCAAAGAAAUCUCCAAAAUCAUCAAUAACAACUGCCACAGGAAAUGUCUCAUGCAGGUGAAAUGCAGCAAAGUACUUCUUAAUUCCUUCAUCAUCAUCCACAUACCUAUACAGAUGAAAACUUGUCUCAAAAAUCCCAUUUAUACAUCAUCAUUCUUUAGAAGUGUUAUGAUCAAGAAAGCUUCAAAGGGUAAACUCACUUCAUUUGUAUGCGCUGAAAUGUCUCAGAGGAUGAAUCAACGCCCUGAAAAUGUUUAGCACAGAAAAAUGGCUUAUGGGUACUGAAAUAUCUCAAAUAAUAAAUAGAUUUAUUUUUAAAAGAAAAAAAAGAAAGAGAAGAGGUACCUGGGAAAGAUAAGGGGGCUUGACCUCUAACUUGCGGCGGUUGCAAAUGAACAUCACUUUACCAUUAGUAUUGCCAUGGUGGCCCUCCCCCAUUGCGGAGUUGAAUGCAAACUGGAAUAUUAAGGAGGUUUUUCCGCUGCAAAAAAAUGAAGACACAAAGCAAUUAGAGAGAGAAAUGGAGAGAGAGAGAGAUAUAUAUAUAUAUAUAUAUAUAUAUGGAAAGUUGAAUUACGAAUACCAGGAAGGAGGGCCAGAGAGAAGCAUGACAGGGUGGGAUUGGCUGUUUUGUUGGAGGUCCAUUUGCCUCACUGAGAAAAAUCUCUGCACCAUGGUUGAGCUGAAGCCUGAAGCUACAAUGUCAACAGUCAGAUGGAAAUUUAUACUUGGUUGGUCCAAAUCACAAAACCCGGGCCUUACAAAAAACCCAUCUUGGAUUUUACCGGCGUGCCUUUUUCUGUGUUUUUUUUUCUUCUUUUCAUGAACAAUAAUCUAGUUGGCGCCAAAAAAUUUAUUAUUUAUUAUUUAUAGGAAAAUAGAGGCACCCACAAUAAUUUGGAACCCUCCAGUUAGAAAUAUAUUAUUUUGCCAAGGCCUAGUAUAUGGAUUUUAGCUCUUACUUUCACUUAUAUAUGCGUUUUUGUUCCUGCAAAUAUAUUUGAAAUUAAUUAUGCCUUGCCUACUAUUACAGUGAAUUUCAAAAUCUUUUCUAACUAAUAUAAAUAUUUCCAAUGCAUGUUGUUAUGCAUUGAAUGGCAUAAUAGUUAAGAGAGCACACUGCGGACUAUCGAAAGAGUAGCCAAUCUCCAAAAAGUUAAGACCAAUGUAAAUUGCUCUGCAAGACAUACUCGAUGGGAAGUAUAUAAGCAUAGCAUAAAACCUUGAAUUUCCAGUUCAUUUCAGCAAAAGGAAAAGAAAAACAACUUCUCAAGAAAUUCAGAUGGAGGUAACUCAUAAGUUUGCAACUACAGUUGCAAGAUAAAGGGCCUAAAUCAGCAAAGGAGAAAAUUGUGUUCAUAAGAUUACAUUGGCUCAGAAUCAUCAUGUUUCUAUUGGCAAUAGCGUGGCUGACCCAUUUCCAAAUCCAGAUUCCAGUACUACCUCCGACAGGUCAUCGCUCUCAAAAAAGGCAUGGUGAAGGGCCUUGACGCAUUUUUCAGCUUCACUAUCAUUUACUAUCAAUGAGAUGUUCACCUGAUUUAUAACAAAUCAAUUAUUAGACAGCAAAGAAAAAUAAUGAAUGAGUGAAAUAUUAUGAGUUAUGACUGAGAGACCUUAGAUGCGCCUUGCGAGAUCAUUUGGACAUUGACUUGAUUGGUUCGGAGAACAUGAAAUGCCUGCGAGAAGGAAAGCCAACUAUAUGAGAUAAGAAAGAAGAGGAAAAGAAAACAUCUCUUCUGGACAAAUUCUAGAACAUUGCAGAGGGAAACAUAACACCUUCUCUAGUAUCAAUGAAGAAUACUGAACAUUCCCUAUGAGUGAGAUGAUUGAUCUACGCUGCAGAAGAUUCACGAAUGCAAUUUUUUCGAGUUCUUCCUCCAUCUUGUCAAGUUCCUGUUACAUAUGCCACCAAUUUGUACGCAUUCAGAAAAUUAGCACAGACAAAUCUUUCAACUAGUGAUGUACCAGUGUUGGCUCUUAACUAAAACGAACGUCGAGACUGACAAUCCAUAUCUAUUGUCUAUGAGUUUCACACCGUGUAUCUUUAUGUAUUUUACAUUGUGCAUCCUUACAAAAGGAUGCCUCUUAUUCACAGGGACCUUGAAAAGGUAUAAACAGCUUUAAAAGAAUUACAACUUAGAACAACAAAUAAAUCCUACAUAAAGAACAUAAGAUUAUAUGCUUGCCUGCUGAAUUAGUUCUCUACUCCAAAACUUUGAUGGAUCCAAUGUCAAAGAUAAACUGACUUCACUUGUUGCAACAACAUCCACAGAAAUGCCCAAAUCUUCAAAGGUCGAGAACACCUAUUUGGAUGAUGAAUCCCACCGUAGGGGGGACAUCACGACAAUUACAAUCAGAAAUUCCAAAACAAGAAAAGCAAUAUGGCAACAACUGCAAAAACAAAACCAAGGAAACAAAGAGUUUCUCACCUUUGCAAGGAAGCCAACUUGACCAAGCAUGCGUGUACUGACAAUAUCCAACAGGGUGACAUUUUGCUUCAGAACUAUGCUGGUUAGAACAGCCUGAAGUUGAUUUCAAGGGAUAGAUUGGGGUAAAAAUAAAAGAUCAAGAAUGUUUGAAUUUUACACACACUUCAAUUCUCAAGAAAACAAGAAAAGAAAAGAGAAGAUAAAGCUGCCCAAACCUUGCUCAUAUCUCUUGUUUUAGUGAUGAGGGUACCAGGAGCUUUAGGGUUAUAAGAGUUCUUGACCCUAACAGGAAUCUCGCCAUCUCUAGCCGGUCUCAUGGAUUGUGGAUGUAGAACCUGCGCAAUUGUCAGUGCAAUUAUAUUUAUCUUUCUACCUAAGUGCUCUAUUUCUACCACCGAUGCUAAAUGGCUAGCUCUCAUCAAGAUUCCAUCUACAUUUCUUCAUACAAUUACUAGAAGAAUGCUUUGUCUGUCUAAUCACAAUUAUACAAGAAAAAAAGUGGGGCUCAUCAUCUGAAUAAAAGAUGCUCAUGAAUUGAAUACAAAUAUUGCUUUAGUGGAAGUCUUAGUCCACAAACUUAGUCCAAAGCACUUCAUGGAUGGGAUGGGAGUCUAAUGCGCACUUCAUGUAUGGGAGUCCAAAGCCCACUUUAUACCCAUCUAUAAAUACUUGAAAAAAAAAAAACUCUGCAGUAUCCCUUCAAUUUGUUAACUCUCUGUCUAUAGCCAUAGGUUCUCUCAUAAACACAUGCUGCAGAGAUAAUAUUAAGGCUAAAAUUUCAACCAACUGGUUGAGUCCUCUAAUUAGAAAAUAACAUCUAAACUGCAAGAGUAAACAGAAUCUACCUGAGCACCAAAAUAUGCAAGCUCAGCUGCCUCAUCGAAAGUCAAAUAGGGAACAGGUUCUGCAUCAGGACAUAUACUAGGAUCACAGGUCAAAACACCAUCAACAUCCUUCCACACCUGUUAAAACUGUUAAAUUAGCUUCUAUAUGUGUUUGCCUAAUAAAUUCAAAAUGAAUACUAGCAUACAGUUCCUGCUAAUUAGAAAAAGAAAUGCACAAAAUCUCCAAUAAAAUGCUAGCCAUGUUAGCUACAUCAAUAAAAUAACAGACAACCAUCAGCAUGCAAUCAGAAUAAACACAAGUGAUGAAUGCAAGCAUGAUAGGGUGCAUAUCUACAUGAGUUCUGGUGAUACAUGCAUUUAGAGCCUAAUCUCACCUGAACUUCUCGCAAGCCUAGGGAUUUACCAAUGGUUGUCGCUGUUAAAUCACUACCACCCCUACCCAGGGUAGUAACUGCACAAGAUUUUGAGCCCUGCAAUCAAUAAAACAGAUGCAAUGUUGAAAGCCCAGCCACUAAAUAUUAAUUUCAUCAGAAACUGAGACUUCAAAUCAAACAUGUGAGCAGGAAUUUGAUUGGGCAGCUAGCCAGGGGAAAGACCUUUCCGAGAAAACCAGUAACAACCGGAAUUGCAGGAUCACUAAUCCAAUCAUCAUUUAAUCUUUUAGCAACGGAUGGGUAAGUUCCUUCCAAGAUGUCAGCAUUGGUGAAGUCAUCUGUUGUUAUGAAACCAAUGUCAAAUGCAUCAUACUGCAGUACAUUAAUAGCAACCAUCAUCAACAAAAUAUCUUAAGUGGCUACUAACAAAGAGAGUAACGAUGCACUAGAGAAAAUAAUCCAAAAGAAUCAGAAGAAAGAAAAUAUUGUCAAAUGCAUAUUUUCGAAAGAUGGAGUAUACAUACUUGGCGUGCCUUAACACCAAAAUUAUUUAGAUAAGCUGCAAAGAUCCUUGUGGACAUGCACUCUCCAAAUGAAACUAGAUAGUCUCUUGUGCGGAGAGUUAACUCUUUCAUCAUAGCUACUCCCUUCAGCAAUUGCUCUAGUUCUUCUAAGUACGCUGCAACAUGUCCCAGGAAAAAAAGGGGCAAACACCCAAAGUUUCCAAUUAACAACUGAUCCUAGACCUUAUUAAUAAAAUUAAAACAAUUCAACACAACAAAUGAGGAAAUUCAGACAUUAAAAAAAAAAAAUUCAUCCCUUCACUUAAAGUUCUUACCAGAAAUAACGGAGCUAUCAAUUCCAAGUUCUCUAACAGUCCUGAGCAAAUGCAAUCACACAGUUUUUAACAACAGCUCUAAAGCACAAUUGAAAAAGAAAAUGAGAAAGAUAAAGGAAAAUGAUGAGUUAACCUGAGAUGCAGUUGUUUUAUAAAGCUCAAUUCUUCAAUUUCUGACGCAUUCGAGACCCCACAACUGACAGCCUUCUCCCCAGCCUAUGCAUACGUUAUACAUAAAUCACAGCCAUCCAAUCGCAUUAUAAUUAAGCAAUCAAAUCACACAAUUGAAUAACUUAAUCAGAUAACAAUGAAAAGUUCAUUACAAGUAAGAGGUUGUUAGUGGUCUUCCCCAUGGCAGAGAGCACAACAACAGGCUUUUCAUCAGGAAAACUGACAAUGAGCUGAGCAAUCUCUCUUAUCCUCUCUGCCGAUGCCAACGACGAUCCUCCGAACUUCAUCACGCAAGUGAAUGGUGCUGUAUCAGAGCCAUGGCUCCCUGUUGCUUUCUCUUCUUCUUCUUCUUCUUCUCCUCCAAGCACAGCUUCAAUUCUUUUCUUCUCGCUGUUACCUCUCAAGCUAAUGCCUUUACAUGCAUUUUCCAUUGCCGCAUGGAAUGAUCGUGAUGGUGAGGCCACCGAAGAGAGCCAUGGCUUGCUCGAUAAGUGUGAGAGUCUUGGAGUUCGUGAGUAGCAGGGAAUUCUAACCCCGUGGAAAUGCAAUGAAGCCUCCAUUUGCUUAUCUGACUCUGUACCGAAGUUGCUUCGACGAAUAAUCAAAUUCAGGGUUUCUGAUUUAUUGGAUUUUCAUUUGUUUUCCAGACGUUUCUUUGGCAACCAAACGCGUGAGUGAAAUUUCUGUAUCGGGAACGAAGGGGAGGCAAAAGGGCAAAACACCCAUCAUCCACUACGGCGUUUUUUGUUUAUAUAUAUCUUUUUACCCUAAGGCCGGUUUGGUUAAUGGGAAACAAGAUUUGGAAAUGAAUUCAGUUGCUUUUUCAUGUUUAGUAAGUGCAUGUAUGAGAAAUAGUUGUCUGACACAUGAAAAAGUAUAGGGGAAAGUAAAGUCUCUUCUUAACUUGGGUUUUGUUUUUCCUCCUCAUGAGAAAGUUUGGGAAAAUGAACCAACAUUCAAUGCAUAAUUUUCAUGACUAUUUUGUUCCUAUGAACAAUUUAUAAUUACAACGUAUCAUUAAAUAUAUUUUUUUAAAUUUGAUUUAAUAUGGGUAUAAUUAGAAAAUUAUACAAACUUUGUUUUUCAUUCCUACUCAAAACAAACAUGAGAAAGGAAACAAAGUGAAAUCUCCCGGUUACUUUCCUGACAUUUUCAUUUUCAUUCUUUGAAAAAUGACAUGAGAAAUGAUUUUCCCUCAAAUUCAUUCCGUGAACCAAACGGGGCUAAUGGAUACUGUAUCGUUUGUUUGUCCUUACUUCUUACAGAAAUGGAAAAUUACCAUUAAGCCUUCAAAAAGACUAUCGUCGCUCAGACGGGUCUGCAACAAAGUUUGAACGAAGUAACGAAAUCCUGAACUUGUAAACUAGAGAUUUUUUUGAAUCAAAAGCUUAAUUUUGAAUGUCUUCUUCUUUCACAGUUCAAUGUUCUUUGCUAACUUCCUGCGGUUUACAUCAUCAUGAUCAGACUCCAUCUACAAAAGCUGCAAACUUUGCUCAAAUUCCUUCGUGGGUCUCUCUCAAAUUCACCGCUCCUUCGAUCAAUACCCGCCAAAUAGAAAGUGGUCAAGUCGAAAAUGUGCACUUGGUUUCUCUAUCUAAGCAAGGGAAGCUCAAAGAAGCUCGUGACUUUCUCAAGCACAUGAACGAAGCAGGUGUCUCCGUCAGUCCUCAAUCUUAUAAAUGCCUCUUUGAAAAAUGUGGAUUAAUGGGUUCCUUAUCAGAUGGAAAACUUGUGCACGAUUGGUUGCGAAAAACAAUUAAGAGCCCACCUGAAUUUCUUGAGAAUGAUGCUCUUCAGAUGUAUUGCGAUUGUGGGAGUUUAUCAGAUGCACAGAAAAUGUUUGAUGAGAUGCUUCACAAGAAUUUGGUUUCUUGGGUUAUAAUUAUAUCCGCUUAUGCGCAAAAGGGUAUUUUGAAGAGAGCUAUUUUGAUGUUUUCGCAUAUGCUAGAGUCUGGGAUUAGACCGAACUCGUCUAUUUUUACGAGCCUCUUAAAGUCCUUGACUGAGCAUUCGCUUUUAGAGCUUGGCAAACAGAUACAUUCUUAUGUGAUAAGAACAGGGAUGAAUAGUAAUGUUUCGAUUGACACGUCAAUUGCAAACAUGUAUGUAAAGUGUGGAUGGUUAGAGGGUGCUAAGCUUGUUUUUGAUAGGAUGGCUGACAAGAAUGCUGUGGUUUGGACUGGGUUGAUGGUGGGCUAUACUGAAGAUGAGAAACUGGAGGAGGUUCUAGAAUUGUUUGCUGAGAUGGUUAGGAAAAGUGUAGAAGUGGAUGACUUUGUGUUUUCGAUAAUUCUUAAGGCAUGUGCUGGUUUGGAGGACCUGAUUAUGGGAAAGCAAAUCCAUGGUUAUAGUGUUAAACUUGGGUUGGAUUCUGAGGUUUCUGUAGGAACACCUCUAGUGGACUUCUAUGUCAAAUGUGCAAACUUUGAAUCUGCUUGCCGAGCGUUUGAGAGAAUACAUGAACCAAAUGAUGUUUCAUGGAGUGCUAUAAUCUCAGGCUACUGCCAGAGUGGGAAAUUUGAGGAGUGUGUCAAGAUUUUUCAGUCUUUAAUUUGUAAAGGUGUUACUUUAAAUUCAUUCGUAUAUACGAGCAUUUUUCAAGCAUGCUCUGCAAUUGCAGAUGUAAAUUUAGGCACUCAAGUUCAUGCUGAUGCGAUAAAAAGAGGGCUCGUUGCAUUGUUGCAUGGAGCAAGUGCAAUGAUUACGAUGUACUCAAAAUGUGGCAGAUUGGACUAUGCCUAUCGAGCAUUUGAAUCGAUAGGUAAACCUGAUACUGUGGCCUGGACUUCUAUAAUUAGCGGUUAUGCUUAUCAUGGCAAUGCCUCUGAAGCUCUUAGGCUUUUCCAUAGAAUGCAGGAUUCUGGUGUAAGGCCAAAUUCAGUAACGUUUAUAGCAGUUUUAACUGCUUGCAGCCAUUCAGGUUUGGUCACAGAAGGAAAGCAGUAUUUGGAUUCAAUGAGCUGUGUAUAUGAUGUAGAACCAACCAUCGAUCAUUACGAUUGUAUGAUUGAUGUAUACUCUCGUGCUGGGCUACUACAAGAGGCACUUGAACUGAUAAAGAGUAUGCCGUUUGAACCCGAUGCAAUGAGCUGGAAAAGUUUAUUGGGGGGAUGUUGGAUACAUCGAAAUCUGGAGCUUGGGAAGUUUGCAGCUGAGAACCUCCUCCAGCUGGACCCAGAGGACACUGCUAGUUACAUAAUCAUGUUUAAUUUGCAUGCUUCAUCUGGAAAAUGGGAAGAAGCUGCAGUUUUUAGAAGAAUGAUGGCUGAAAGGGACUUGAGAAAAGAAAUAGGAUGCAGCUGGAUCACUGUCAAGGGGGAAAAGCACCGGUUUAUAGUGGGUGAUCAACACCAUCCUCAAAUAGAGCAAAUAUACUCAAAACUGAAGGAGCUGAGCAUUUCUUUCAGGGAGGCUGAAGAUUCCCUUCUAACUGAAGAGGAUGUAUUGAAUGGUUUUCCUGAGAGGAAAGAACAGCUUCUUGAGCAUAGUGAGAGACUUGCUAUAGCUUUUGGGCUCAUAUCCACACCAAGUAAUGUCCCAAUUGUGGUUUUCAAGAACAUCAGGGCCUGCAAAGAUUGCCAUGAAUUUGCAAAACAUGUUUCUGUGGUAACAGGGCGUGCAAUUGUUGUGAGAGAUUCUAGUAGAUUUCAUAACUUUGAGUUGGGGGAGUGUUCUUGUAGAGAUUAUUGGUAACUUCUGCAAUCUCACUGCCCAAUGGAGAUUUGGGCAUGGCACUUUUUUUCUGGAAGCCUAGGCCACAAGUGGGGCUGGUCUUCCUCUAGCCACCAUUGCAUGUGAGUGCACACGUGUCUGUGUAUGACAAGCUUGGUUACUUACUGCUUCUUGCCAUGUGUCUCUUUCUGGUUGCUGCUGCCUGAUGCAUCAAGAGGAAGCUCAAGUCACCUCCAACUUCCAAGUGCAUGGGGACGAACAGAAGCGAUACCCAAUAAUACGGAGGAUUGGUGCAGUCGGUGGUGAUAAUAGUAGUUAUUUUUUACUGCCUCUUGCAAUAAUUUAGUGGGGGCUAAAGUGACAAUAUGUGUGUUGAUUCUGUUGACACGUUUUUGUACGAGAAUCUCAAGAUUUUGUGUGAAGAAAUCACGGGCAAAGCAAGCGCAGCAAGAGAUAUUAUUUCUUUCUGCUUUUUUUAGUGGGUCUCUAAACCAGCAUCACCAUAGAAGAAAACCUUCAUUUGACAAAUGGACUGGACACUACGGGAAAGUAAAUAACUAUUAAGAAUUCCAACUUCCCCAAAGUGUAUUAGAAUAUGAGUUUUUAAAGUUGUUGAAUAUCAAGUUUCAUAUAUUGAAAAAUUCAAAGGGAUGCACAAGAACCAGUAUAAUAAUGGAGUUGGGAUCCAGGAAAUCUGCUUAGAUCUAAAGAAUUAAGAAACAGAAACAAACAAAAACCCACCUCCUAUGAUUGCAUCAUCAUUCAUCACUUGGAUAAUUAUUAUGAAAAAUAAACCAUAUACGAAAGAGAAAGAAACAAAGGAGCUUUUGAUGGCAGUUGGCAAGUUGCAGUUGGAUGGUAAUGGUUAUGGUACUUUAUGGUAUUAUGGGUAAUUGUUAUUUUCAGUUGGCGCCAAAUAAAAUCCUAUCCACAAAUCCACUCCUACUAUGGCAACUCAUGUAUCAGCUAAGCCAGCCAAUCCCCGUCAUCUCUGCUGGUUUCUCUCCCCUUCUUAAAUUAAAUUCCCUCUUUCACCCACUCUCACACAACUCACUGUUUCCGCUCUGUUGCCUUCUGGGUUUCAUCUCUCUUCCCAUAACUCAAGUGAAAAAAAAAAGCCUUCGCUUGCCUGCUUGCUUUCUUCUUCUCAUUCUCAGGAAGAUGGGCUUUUUUAUGUGCAGCUUUUCUUGGUUGGCUUCAUUUCUUUAAGGUGAGCUAUACAUUUGUGUUCCUUUUUUCGAAGUCUGGUGCUUUUGAUCUUCUCAUGGUUUUCUGAAUUCUGCAUGUCUUGAAGAUUUAAUCAGUUGAGUUUAACAAUACCUGAUUUUUUUCAAGUUUCAAACUUGCUUCUUGAACAUCAAAUAAAUAAGAGAAGUGCUCCCACCCCUACAAUUCAAGAAUGUAUGUGCUAGAGAACAGGGCAAAAUCACAACAUGGCUAAGACAAUCUCUGCACUGUCUAACAAAACAGGGCAAAUGAUAUUUGUUAGCACCAUGAGGUGCGUAUGCCCUUUGUAUUUUCAUUAUGUCACAAAAAAUCUUCUGUGCUUCUAAUAAAAGAUGCAAUUUUGUUUAGGGGCUCCCUGGAUGCAAUUUAAAUCACAUGAUCUUCUCCAUCUUCAAAGUUUCAAACUUGCUUCUGGAUAAAGCACUUUUGUUGAAGUAGUCUAAAGUUCAUGGAUAUUGGACAAAUGAAAUGUUCCUCGAGCUAUGGAAAGCCUCCAUGGAUAUUCAAAGGCAGGUAAGUGUCCAACAACACUUGGGUUUUUUGGCCUUUUGUUCCCAAUCAUGAAAAAGGACUCUGCUGACUGAUUGCCCUGAUUUUUCUAAUCAGUGCGUUGUAUCAAUUCCAUCUUGUCAAAGCAGCAACUGUUCGUGCAUGCAUCCCAAAAGAGUUCAGAUUAGUUGAAGCAUUUGGGUUAGUAUACUUAGUAACAUUGUUGCUUAAAUGAUUGAGAGCGGUACAGGAGCAUAAUGUGAGAGCUCUACAUAUUUAGUAACAAGACCUUGUCCAUAUAUUUGCUUUCCCAACCUAAAUAGAUUUGUUGGUUUCUCAUCACUUUUAUAUGUUGCUCCUGAUAUUAGCCUCCAGUAACGGGUUCAUAUGUUUCGUGGUGUUUUAAGAAUUUGAUUACCAAACAUGUGUUUACACUUUGCAGGUAUACCCUUGGUGGCUUCUUUCUUGCCAACUAUGAUGACAGUCCAGCUGGAGUCUUUGAUGAGGUUCAUAUCUUCAUACUUUUUUGGCCUUGGUACAAAAAGUUAAUAUAUCAGUUUUCUUCUCAUUACUUGGUUUAUUGUAGGAGUGAUCCAUGUUUGCUUUAGCAAAGAUGUGGAAAAUAAUAAUUUUCAAGUUUAUUCAACCAGUCACUAACUGGACUGCGUUUGUUUUCUCCCUCCCAGCUCGUUGUAAUUGCUGGACUUGUAUGGAGCCCACCAACAUCUUGCGCGUAUGUUUUCUUCAACCUUAUCUUUCUUCAUAAUAAGAUGAAGAGCAUACAAUCUUGUUAGGCAACAAUACCCCAAUUUCUAAACUAUCUAAAGCAACAAAAACAAAGUUACUUCAACCAUCUAAAGCACCUUAUUUUCUUCUCAACUGGACUGAAUAAUAUCUCAACAAACUUAUGCCCCUCUUUAGACGAGUUAUGCGGCUACCAAUUGAGUUAUAUCUUCUUCUUCUUCUUCUUUUUAUUUUCUUUUGUGUCAGUUGUGACAUUGUGAAAGGGUGUUUAGACUUGGUACAUCCUCUUUAGCAGAGAGGUCUGACUACUGAGCUAUGUCUAAUGAUAUCUAAAUAAUUACUUUGUUCUUGUUUUGAAAUGUAGAUGAAAUAAAACUGUUGUGGAAACAUUGGUUAUGGAGUACUUAUACAGAAGCAGUUUGACUUGUUUUUGUCAAACAGAUGGGCAGCUAAGGUGCUGGUGAAUAGUUAUGAAGCUUGUGAUCAUGGACGAAAGGUGGGAGGCUGCAUAAGCAUAAGGCAUUUUGCAAUAGAGCUAGUCACAAUUUCUUAUUGUUCUUCUAUAGUUCUUAUGUUGCUUGUAGUCGCUUCUUGCAGGAAGUGGGGCUUCCAAGUCACGUUGCGAGGUUUUCUAAGGUACCCUUGAAUGCUCAUUUGUCGUCAGCUUGCAUAAAAUAUUGAAGUUACCCUGCUUUUAUAUGCUUCUGCAUAUAGCAAACUCUUCAUACUUAAGGUGGACUAGGGAUGCAUUUUUCACCUACAUUUAGUAUUCGAGAAAUCAUUUACUGUUUCCUUAGUCAUCCUUAUGUAGUAUGUAAUGUGUUUUCUGCAUAAUGCAGACAAUUACAGCAGUUUCAGGAAAAUCAAAGAGCAAAAAUAUUGGAUUUCUAAAUGCAAUUGGCAUGAAUGCUGUUUUCUGUGAACCAAGAGAUUGUAUGGAUGUUCAAGUGACUGAAAUCAACGAUCCAACUGUAAAAGAUAUCUGUAAUAUCAACCUUACCACUUUUGGUAAGUUUGUUAAUCUGAACAUCUGAUUUGUAGAGUGGCCACUUAAUUUUUGCUUAUUUCAUCAAUUUUCUAUUGAAAACAUCUCUCUUGGCAUUGUUGUCAUAGCUUUUCAACAUAACAAAGAUAAUAGAGCAGGGGGUUUUCAUCUUAGAGAGGAAAACAUAAGUUCAUAACUCUAUGUUUGGAUUUUUUCCUUCUGUAGUUUUCAUCCUUUUGCUUGAUUAAAUCAUCGAUGUUCCUAAUUACGAGUUUGGUGAUGGCAGUGCCUGCAUCAAAUAUUGGCAACUGGAUGGGGCCAGCGAUCAAAAUGUCACUUCCAAGUUUUAGGUAAGUUUCUCCCUUGGUUUCUGUCUUGUGCAUACUCCCUAUGCUAUUAGAGUUCAUUUUUUCCCUUAUGUAUUUCCUUGUGCUGUGAAAUUGCAGCGGCCGUACAGAAUAUUAUCCCAACCUUCUCAAGUACUCUUGCCAGAUUGAGUGCAGGUUUCAUUUACCUUUUUAUGUUCAUCAAGCUUCAUUAAUGUUAAACUCUUUUCCACCAAACUCGAGUGACAACUUGGUAUUGGGAAAAUGUGUUAUCUUUCCUUGGUUUACAUGGAUUUCCAUCUGAUUAAAUUCUGUAGGGUGCGAGCAGUGCAUCCAGCAAAGGUAUCAGGACCACCUUCGAUGCCAAAGAGCGAGGCAGAACAAUCUUCAGAAAUCCAUCACGCGACAGAAGAAUUCAUGGAUAAUAGCAAGAACCUCUGUGUAGCUGUGAUGUCAUCAAAGCCUAUAUUGGCAUUAAAGUUCAGUUGUAUGAAAAUGCAGGUUGAAGCUCCAGUUGUAGUUCCCAACAGCUUUAACAACUCUCUAGCAACCUCUUGAUUGUGCUAUCUGUUAUAAUAUUCCAAAUAAUUUCUUCUGCCUUGCUGUGAUUUCAAAAGUAAGAAUUUAGUCUCAGCUUCUUGCAACUUUGAGUAGGACAUCAACUUGUUGUCAAUAGAACAUCUCGCAUCUAAGCUUCACGCAUUCACUUGGAUUUAUCGAACAGACCAUUGAAACAGAUCAAUUAUUUGAAACUAUUUUACAAAUAUGGAAACUUGAGAUUUGCCAAAAGCACUUCCUUUCUUUUCUUUUCUUUUUUCUUCAAGUGUUUACAAAAAAUUUCUACUUUCCAUAGCAUGGAUAACCCCCCGUGUAACAUGUUACAAAUAACAAACAAACGCACUUUUCAUGCUCAGAUGAUUGAACCUUACAAUCAAAUUUCUUACAAUCUCAAUCUGGACCCAGUCUAACUGAUCAGUAGAUCAGAAUACUUCGGGCAGAGGUCGGCCCUCCAAAAAUGACUUGAACAAUACAAGAGAUCUCUCCGGCUGUGAGAACGGCGCUUCAUGUGAUGCUCCUCUAAUGGUGGCAAAGGAAAGUAUAUUACCAUAAGCUUGAGUCCACCCACCAACCUGCAGGUAAGGAAAAAAUAGAGCAUCAUUUAGCACUUUUUAAGUUCCUAACAGAAGCACCAGAAAGUCAUCAAAUUUUACUAAUCUCAAAUAAGAGUCACCUGCUGCCCCUCAAACCAGACUCUGUAAGGCACGGUGGUAUUUAGUCCUAAUUGCUCUGCAAGUCUAUGAACUAAUGUUCUACUUCCUGUCAAUGGGAUAACAGAAUCUUGGUCUCCACUGAAAGUUUACAAGAAAGUAAGUCAACUGCAACGACCUUUAGAAAAUAGAGAAUGUUUUUAUGUUGGUCUGAAAUACAUAAAAUACUUAUAAAGGUAAGAGACAUCUACCUGUAAACCAAGACCGGUAUUCCUGCUUUGAUGAGUUUGCCCACGAUUGUGGUUGUUGGUAUCUCCACAUCCAACAGCUGAUAAUCCAGUAUGCUGUCAUGAACACAGAAGAUGAUUUAAGCAAAAUACUACUUCGAGAUGCAGUCAAAAUUUAUAUCUGGUGAAGAAAGUUACUUGCUGCAAACUGCCCAUUGACGAACGCCAACAAGUCGAGCGUGCAGUGCCUUCUGCACGUCUGGCCUGUUCAGAUAAUUAACUAUUUCAUCCUCCACGCAUACAUCUAUUGCCUCAGUAACUUGCUGCUAGAAUGAACAAGUUAAAACAAUUAGAAGAUGGAUACGAACUUGUCGAAAAUGAAUCAAAAUUUCAGGUUGCAAAAGAUGGUUUUCACCUGAGGAAGGAGGACUUUGGAUUGGGAGAACACAGAUGAUAUACAAACAUCAAGAGUGACAUCAUACUUGUCAACAAAUUUACUGGUUUCUCUGCUCACUUGGCUCAUCACCCUUGAACAAAUAGGUGAAACCGAGCCUCUGUAAUAUUCACUCACAUAACGUGAGUAGUUACAAACAGAAGUGAACAUUUUGUAUGUUGAAUCUGAUAUCAAUCCAUGAGACCAAAAGAACUCAGCUCUUGAGUUGAAGUCAGUGGUAUAUUCUAGGACUGGGUUACCCAACUGCAAAGAGAACAAAUAUUUUAGACCACAAUAGAGGGGGAGAAAGCACAAGAAAUCCAAAGGUGGUAAUUUUGAGAUUUUAUCACUCACCGCAAUUCCUUUCAAAUUAAAUUGAUACUCCUUAUAUUGGAGCAUGAGUUCUGCAAGCUGUGGAACAUAGUGACCUGGAUAUAAAUAGGGAAAAUAAAAUCAAUAAUUCCAUCUCUUAUUAUAUCCUUGAUUAAGAAGUAAGCAAUUGUCAGGAACAAGAUGAUACCAGCAUAGCUUUCUCCUGUAAUAAACAAGCUUCUAUUUUUAUAUUGUGGGAAUUUUUCUAACCAAUUUUGCAAGAACAGCAGAUUGUCCCUGGCUGUAGAUAACAAGGACAAAGUUCAGAAAUCAUAGAUGGCCUGUAAAGGUGAACUUUUGUCAACUCAGAAGGAAAAAUACAAACCAUCAACAGUACGCAUCACACAUGGCAUAUCGGUAAAGUGAGUGAACUAAGAAAAAUUAUAGUGCAAGGUCAUCAUGCAAUAUUAUUUUGAAUCUUUGGCAAAAAGAAAUGAAAAGAUUUCAAAUGGAACUUUGGAGAAGAAAAAAAAGAAUAUUUUCUUCUCUUUCUUUUUGGGAAAAAGAACAAAGGAAAAUGAUAGGAAGACAAGUUGACUUGAAAUUCAGUAAAACAAAUUGUGUUUCUUCUGCUGUUUUUAAACUAUUUGCGAAAGGGUUUUUCUUUCUUAUCUAGCAAGACCUCUACUUGCUAAUAAAAUUAGAAAUUUCAAAUAUAGUGAAUGUAAAUAAAAUUUCAAUUAACAGAAUAAUCAAAUUGGUGAGGCGUGCCUGUGAUGUGGUCAUUUACAGCCUCAUAAGAAGAAGUAUCCGUUGAAUAAGAGAACCCCACUCCAAUUGGCGUCUCCAAGUAAAGCAUGUUUGCUUCUGCAAAUCAAUGAGCAUGUUAAACAAUCAGCAGCAUUGGAUUGUUUUGAAACUACCCAAUAAUGAAUUGAAGAAAAUCAAAAGGAGCAUUCUUUUACCUCUGUUCCAGCUAUGUUCAUUUCUAACCAAUACCUCUCCGCUAGGCCUAAAUGGUCCAUUCUCAGAAAACGCUCCAACUCCAAGAGAAGAGCAACCAGGACCUGAAAUCACAAACCAUCAAGGCCCAGAAAGAUUUCAUUUUUUUCAAAACCCAGUUUAAAAAAUAUAUUAAAAAGAGAGAAAAUUGAGUUUUGAGUAAGAAGUAGGGACCUCCAUUGAGCCAGAGGACAAGAGGCUUGGAAGCUGGAUCUAUUUCUGCUUCAGCAAAGUAAUAGAACAGAGCUCUCUGUUUCUUCUCAUCAACGGUCACAUAACCCGAAUACUGCUGGAACCCGACUUGGGGUUGACCCGGCAACAGAGCAAUUCUAUCAAGCUCAGAAAGAGAAGCUCGUGCUUUCAUGGAAGAAGAAGUUAUGUGGAGCAAAACCAGAGCCACUACAAUGGUCUUCCAUGGUAGAGAAAGAGAAAUCAUGGGUUCAGUAGAAAGAAAGAGCAAAGAGCCUAGAGCCUAGAGAGAAAGAAAGAUUCAGCUCAGCUGAACUGCUGCCCAGAGUGGGGGCACUAUAUAAAGAUAAAAGAGGGGAGAUCUUGUUUUUUGUAAUUAUUAUUAUUUGAAACUUUUGUCCCAUCAGAGACUUUGGACCUGAAAGAGAUGUAUGCGAUCAUGUGAGAGACUCAUGCUGGCCUUUCUCCUUGCUGUGAACUGGUCACGCUCUCCCUCUCUCUCUCUCUCUCUCUCUGCCCUUGCCUUUGGGGUAUGACUUGGCUGAGUCAGCAAAUGGGGUGUUACUGUUGCUGAAAAUGAAAAGAGAGAAUGUGCUUUUUAAGACACUUUAUUAAUUCACAGAUUGUUCAGAAGUACUGUAUUUGUCUGUUUUGUGUUUGGCCAAUAUGUACUCCAAAAUCUACAACAGACUCUGCAAUUGGAUUCACUGCACUAAAAACUCUGUUCCAUUCAGAUUUUUUUUUUAUAUCUAAAAAAUAUUUAAUUAUUCUGUUCCAUACUCCAUAGAAACGAAAAUAAGCUCUAGGGGGAUGACUUUUUAUUCUCCUCACUAUAUAGCUGAAUGUGACAUCCAACUAGUGUAAUAAUGUCUCCAAAGAAUUUUCCUCCUAGCCAACAACAUUAUUUAUUGGCAAUCAAUUGUAGCUCAAGUGAUUCGAUUUUUCCUUUUCUCGAUACCGCUUGUAUACAUAAAAAAAGUAACAAACUUUUUUAUUUCUUGCAACUUUUACACGAAAAGAAAUAUAAUGUGUAAAUUUGGAAGCAUGACUUGGGUGGUGGUCAAUGCAUGCCAUGCCAGUAGCAAAGACAUGGUUUUUGAAAAGAAAAACUUGUAAAAACCCGUGAUCUGGGUUGAACUUUAAGAUAACAUUUUGCAUCCAAAAUUCCAAACUCUAAUUGCGGUUUAUUGGCUAAUAAUCCAAAUAUAGUAAACUAUUUUAUUAAAUUAUUACUCGUGUGCCGCAGCACUCGGCCGCAGCAGGCUGCUCACUGGGCACCUGUUUUCCAUGGUUUUGUUUAUGAAACUGCGAAAUACGACAAAAACAUAUUCCGUUAUUCCAUGUCUUGUUUUCUUCUCAUUUCUCAGCUAGCUGAGGUAAGGUCUCAAUCUUGCUCAGGACAACACACAAUUACAUUCUAAUCCGCAUGCAAAUUUUUGUUUGUGUUAUCAGCAAACAAAAUAUACUUGCUCGUGGCAUCUCUGCCAUUUCGGGUCACUUUUUUUUUUUUUUUUUCCCAAAGAAUGAAAAGUGCCUGUGCAAACUUUAGUUGGGAAAUGUGCCUAAAAUGGAAGUGCAGCAAUGAGCAUAAGGCAUUGUGUGAUAUUUUUCUGUGAGUCUUGAAAUGGAAGCAUGGUUUCACUUUUCUAUUCAGCUUUAUUUUUUUCUUAUAUCAAUUGUUUUCCUUGAGGAAUUGAUGGGUCUCUUUUCAUUAUAUUUUACUUUGUUUAUAUGGGGAAAAGCUGAUUAGCUUUUGAAUUGGUAAUAUCUCUUCUUUUUUUCUUGUCUGUUUUUUCAUAUUGGAUUAGAUUAGACACGCAUGUUAGAACCCAUACAUGUUGGUUUUUUUUUUUUUUUUGGGGGUAAGUAUCAUGAGGUGUUCAGGCCAGUUUGCUCGCACCUCGAUUAAUUCUCACUCGAGGAACUGAGCCUGCUGCUGCCACCAGGUGUUGCAAUUGCUGGGACUUGAACUGGAGAGCAAAUCCAACCGAAUUCUAGAGCCUUACCCAAAUGGCGGACAAACCACUGGGCCACUAUUGGUGGUUUGGUUUCAUUUUUUAUUUGGUUUGUGUGUGUGGAAAUGACAAUGGAUUGAGGUUUGAGCCUCUUUUCCUCUAGUAUGAAAGUUUCAGUUUUGAUUCAUUCUAAUACUUACAAAGUUACUUUACAAUAAGUCUAGAAGUGGUUUGUUUCAGCAAAAAUAUGUAUAGAAAGUCAGAAUUCCAUGAAAAACUUUUAACUUGACAAAAUGGAAGAAUUAUUGACACAAGUGAAAACAAGAAAAAAGACAUCGAGACUUUGAAACUCUUUUCUCUCUGUGUGUUUGUGUGGUGAUGAUGGGGUCAAGAGGGUAAUGAUUUUCACUCGAGCAUGUUGGAGAAAACAUUUCAUUUCGUACCUGCCAAAACAUGCUACAUGAUUUUGCUUUUUAUUUUUUAUUUUUUAACCAAGCUAGGCCACCCAUACCAUUUUGUUUAGACAAAAGGCAAAACCUGUCGAAAGGUCCUGCCUUGCCGCCCACACCAUGCCAUGCCUACAAUUUUUUUCACCUUGGAAACCUCCUCCUCCCACCACGUUGCCUUUUUCUUUUUUGCAGUCCCAUCUCAACUAACUUCCAUAGCAACUUUCACAACUGGAAAGAAGAAAAAAAAAGUGUUUUUUAGAAGAGAAGAGAGUUCCAACUCCAAGUCUUCCUCCUAAGUUCCUAAUUCAAAGAAUAAUGCAAGCCAAUAUAAUGAUUUCAAUGUAAUAAUUAUGGGGAAACCCAUGAUAUAGAAACGUCCAAUUGUAGGGUAAUCUUGUUUGAAUUUCAAGGUGAGUUUGCCAAAUGUGUAAUACUUUAAUAUAGUGGAUGAAGAUUCUAAAUAAAUGUAAAACAGGUAGGUGUGUAUAGAUAGGGGUCCCCCCAUGUCACAAAAUAGAAAGGGAAAAACUGAUAGAUAAGGGUAUUGGGUCAAAAUCACCUUUAGAAUUCUGGUGUAUUUUCUCUUCUUUCUUUACUUUCCUAUGCGUACCUUUUCACCAAAAGAAUCCCCCUUUUUUUUUCAGCUGCUGGGGGUGUGCACCAAGAAGGCCAUGGCCAUGGGCCACUAUUAUAUUCACAUGCCCCAUCCCUCCUCUUUAAGUUUUAGACAUCUCUCCUUGUUUGGUUUCUUGUUUGCUCAGUUGCCCAUGCUCUUGUGGUAAGUUUUAUGUUUGGCCCUACAAUAUUUUAGUUACAGUCCUUCAACAAAACCUGCUGCGCGUGCUAAGUGCCAUGGACCGCAUGUGAGAGAGAGAGAGAGAGAUUGUGGGGUUGGGAUUCUAAAGCCUCCCAACGGCCAUUUUACAAUGUUCCAUCUAUGAGAUGACAAAACCAAAUUUAUUUGUUAUUCUUUCCUAGAACCAGUAAUUAAAGUGAAUGGUUAGGUAACGUUAACUUAGAGCUAGAAGAUAACUAAGUAGCUCAAUGAAGAGCGUUACCAUCAUUGGUCGAUUUGUGCAUGUAGGUGAAUUCUGAUUGUCGAUGCGUUGGUAGGGGCCUUAUUCUUGGACAAUAUUUGCCCUCACGUCAAAACAAUUUCACAGGCCAUUACGUCCAGUUCAGUUAUCAUAUGUAUAAUUUCAAUGCAGAACGUAAUUUUUGAACAUAAAUUGUGAGAAUAUUGCAAUGGCAAUAUUCAACUGCCUCCAUGUUAAGUCAGACUCUCAGAGAGUACGUGGGGAAAAAGAUGUCAAUGGUCAACUUUCCAGACUCCUUGUCUCAAACCAGAAAGAGCCGUUAAAGAUAGUGGACUUUACGAUAUGGGCCAUUCUUAUAUAGUGCUUCAAAAACAGAGAGUGCAACCUAAAUGAUCAAGUUUCAAACAAAUAUACACAGAAGCUUCAAUCCGAAGAUAUCAGUUGAUAUUGUUUGAUUUAUCAAAUGUUGGAAAUGAUAAUCUUGGUGGUAAUCUCUUUUUGGAGAACUCUAUGCUGCGAGGUUGCCAAUGAUCAUAGCAGAUAUUAGAUACAAUUUUAGAUUAGCUCCAAUGAUAUCAGAAUUCAAAUCAGAAGGAAAAAUAAAAGGCAUAUUUGAGAUUCGAUUUUGUACAAGUGUAAUGAACACUGACAGCAACAGAGUCCCUUUGAAAGCACAAAGUUUAAAAAAUAAAAUAAAAAAG